Molecule: ribosomal RNA, 479 nt
Filed under: uncultured bacterium
Lineage: Bacteria
Description: bacterial SSU rRNA
Rfam family: Bacterial small subunit ribosomal RNA
Source: RNAcentral
GAUGAACGCUGGCGGCGUGCCUAACACAUGCAAGUCGAGCGAUCUUCUUCGGAAGAGAGCGGCGGACGGGUGAGUAACGCGUGGGUAACCUGCCCUGUACACACGGAUAACAUACCGAAAGGUAUGCUAAUACGAGAUAAUAUACUUUUAUCGCAUGGUAGAAGUAUCAAAGCUCCGGCGGUACAGGAUGGACCCGCGUCUGAUUAGCUAGUUGGUAAGGUAACGGCUUACCAAGGCGACGAUCAGUAGCCGACCUGAGAGGGUGAUCGGCCACAUUGGAACUGAGACACGGUCCAAACUCCUACGGGAGGCAGCAGUGGGGAAUAUUGCACAAUGGGCGAAAGCCUGAUGCAGCAACGCCGCGUGAGCGAUGAAGGCCUUCGGGUCGUAAAGCUCUGUCCUCAAGGAAGAUAAUGACGGUACUUGAGGAGGAAGCCCCGGCUAACUACGUGCCAGCAGCCGCGGUAAGAGUCACGUCG